Molecule: non-coding RNA, 72 nt
Organism: Trichonephila clavipes
Lineage: Eukaryota; Metazoa; Arthropoda; Arachnida; Araneae; Nephilidae
Source: the annotation of a GenBank genome assembly
GUUGUGAAGCGCAAUGGAUAGCGCGUUGGUCUUUCAAUCCAAAGGUCGUGAGUUCGAAUCUCACCUGGGAUG